This 87-nucleotide transfer RNA is filed under the name Stenotrophomonas maltophilia. Its description in RNAcentral is "tRNA-Leu". It matches the Rfam family "tRNA". Rfam says of the family: Transfer RNA (tRNA) molecules are approximately 80 nucleotides in length. RNAcentral also lists the same sequence under 4 other names. Lineage: Bacteria; Pseudomonadati; Pseudomonadota; Gammaproteobacteria; Lysobacterales; Lysobacteraceae. The record is from RNAcentral.
GCCCGGAUGGCGAAACUGGUAGACGCAUCGGACUUAAAAUCCGCCGGGGGAAACCCCAUGCCGGUUCGAUUCCGGCUCCGGGCACCA